CAGCUACUGACGCCAUGAUAAUGAUACUGAGUGCCAGUCCCGAGGGUCUCCUAUCAGUCCCUGGCAUCUGCAUUCAUUGCACAUUUUGUAUUGCAUUCCGGUUGAUAAGGAACCAAACAGAUCCACACUCUGACGCUCUAUAAGUAACACUUUUCGGUGAUGAUGCUCGGUUUCCUAUAUAUUUGGUAGAGAACAUAUUAACUACAUUUCUGAAAGGACCAUCUUCUGAAAAUAAAUGGACACAUUUUUAGAAUCUUAGUUCCAUUUCAGUUUUCUUAUAAAACUGAUCACAAGGUGUUCGUCCACUACACAUAUUCCAAAUCUCUAAAGGGCUUUGACCAUGAAGUGUUCUACGCAAUCGAAAUUAUCUUAUCUCUCAGAACAUAGUCGAGCCCCCUUUUUUAACGGCUAUCUACAAAAACUGCGAGACUACAAAGCUUUUAAGUACAGUUGCGUAGAGUCUAUAAAACAAAAAAUAUAGGACCUAAAAAAAAUUUACGUUUUUGAAUCUUAAAAAAUAAUAUAUAUAUUUAUAAAGAUCUUUUGAGAGGUUGAGAGUAACUUAUUUGGACUAACUGAGUAAGAAGUGCUAAAAUCUUGAUUACAGAUAAGAGAACCGAAAACCCAGUGAUAAGAAACCCCUGCGUUCUUUUUUUACCAGCCCCUAAAUUAAAAGACGCCCACCAUGCGGCGAAAACGUGAUCAAUUGCAGAGUUCGACCUAGUGGGAAUGUCAUUGCUGCCGUUUCACAAUCAAUGCUUCGCUUAUCGCCACUGUUUGUCAAUCCUUGAUAUGAGUGGGGCAU
Molecule: non-coding RNA, 805 nt
Organism: Drosophila suzukii
Lineage: Eukaryota; Metazoa; Arthropoda; Insecta; Diptera; Drosophilidae
Source: RefSeq, a predicted model, not a curated record